GGGGGUGUAGCUCAAUGGUAGAGCUGGCGGCUCAUAACCGUCUGGUCGCAGGUUCGAUCCCUGCCGCCCCUACCA
Molecule: transfer RNA, 75 nt
Filed under: Pararhodospirillum photometricum DSM 122
Lineage: Bacteria; Pseudomonadati; Pseudomonadota; Alphaproteobacteria; Rhodospirillales; Rhodospirillaceae
Description: tRNA-Ile2 (CAT) (tRNA-Ile2-CAT-2-1)
Rfam family: tRNA
About the family: Transfer RNA (tRNA) molecules are approximately 80 nucleotides in length. Their secondary structure includes four short double-helical elements and three loops (D, anti-codon, and T loops). Further hydrogen bonds mediate the characteristic L-shaped molecular structure. tRNAs have two regions of fundamental functional importance: the anti-codon, which is responsible for specific mRNA codon recognition, and the 3' end, to which the tRNAs corresponding amino acid is attached (by aminoacyl-tRNA synthetases). tRNAs cope with the degeneracy of the genetic code in two manners: having more than one tRNA (with a specific anti-codon) for a particular amino acid; and 'wobble' base-pairing, i.e. permitting non-standard base-pairing at the 3rd anti-codon position.
Source: RNAcentral